This is a long non-coding RNA of Ruditapes philippinarum (Manila clam), 715 nucleotides long. RefSeq lists it as uncharacterized. NCBI's taxonomy places the organism in Eukaryota, Metazoa, Mollusca, Bivalvia, Venerida, Veneridae. The transcript is spliced from 3 exons. The record is from RefSeq and is a predicted model, not a curated record.
UGCAUUUAUAAAAAGUGUAUGUCAGUCCUGUGAUCAGCAGAAAAUUUCAUUGAAAUGGGGGGUAAUCCUCUUUGAAGUCAUUUUGCAAAAAAUUUGGUUGGCUACCCCUAUAUAACAGGAACAUUUUUAUGUGUCAGGCAUUUCAUUCUGCUAGAAAAAUUACCUCUUUAGCAUGAAAACUCAAUUUUAAGGUAGGAUCAGGGACCAUUUCUUAUAAUGUAAGUCUAUGGAAAUAUCAAUGUGAGUGUCUGACCUAAAGAGAGGGAAAUUGGAACUGCCAUAAUUCAUUUGUUGUACUUUGUCUUCAUUGAUACGCCACGAAAAGCUGAUAUUUUGGAAGAAUGGAUGUAUACAGCCUGUCUAGAUUUCAAAGAAAUGCUGUACAUUGGAUAUACACAUGCCAGGUUUGAAGACUUAUGUAUAACUUGACAGGACCUGAUGUAAGCACAUUGGCCACUUUUGAUGGGUGUUGCAGAAUAUCCGGAAUGCGACAUAGUGGCGCUUGUUAGAAAAAAGGGAACUUCAAAGUUUUAAAUGACUUAAGAGUGGUGAAAAUGCAUCCAUAUAAUUGGUAAUUGUAUAUGCAACUUCAUUUAUUAUUAGAUAUUAGAAUACUAAACAUUUAAUAUUCCCUUUAGGUCAGGGUAACGCAUUGUAACACGGCCAGCGAUUGGCUGAAAAAAAGUGCAGGGAAAACCGUAUGAGUCAAUUUAUA